Molecule: ribosomal RNA, 255 nt
Filed under: uncultured bacterium
Lineage: Bacteria
Description: partial 16S ribosomal RNA
Rfam family: Bacterial small subunit ribosomal RNA
Source: RNAcentral
UACGUAGGGUCCGAGCGUUGUCCGGAAUUACUGGGCGUAAAGAGCUCGUAGGUGGUUUGUCGCGUUGUUCGUGAAAACUCACAGCUCAACUGUGGGCGUGCGGGCGAUACGGGCAGACUAGAGUACUGCAGGGGAGACUGGAAUUCCUGGUGUAGCGGUGGAAUGCGCAGAUAUCAGGAGGAACACCGGUGGCGAAGGCGGGUCUCGUGGGCAGUAACUGACGCUGAGGAGCGAAAGCCGUGGGGAGCGAACAGG